RNAcentral lists this ribosomal RNA (400 nucleotides) under Pterostichus unctulatus. RNAcentral's name for it is "SSU rRNA". It matches the Rfam family "Eukaryotic small subunit ribosomal RNA", at positions 1172 to 1489 of the family's 1831-position model. The record is from RNAcentral. Lineage: Eukaryota; Metazoa; Arthropoda; Insecta; Coleoptera; Carabidae.
AGGAGUGGAGCCUGCGGCUUAAUUUGACUCAACACGGGGAAACUCACCAGGCCCAGACACUGGAAGGAUUGACAGAUUGAGAGCUCUUUCUUGAUUCAGUGGGUGGUGGUGCAUGGCCGUUCUUAGUUGGUGGAGUGAUUUGUCUGGUUAAUUCCGAUAACGAACGAGACUCUAGCCUGCUAAAUAGACGUUACACUUUCCAGUAUCUCGAAGGCUCACAUCUCACGUACCUUUUCUGCACAGCGCCGGUCAUUUCGGUGAUUGGUUGUUGUGUGGUAGGCGGGAGUUUGUGGUUUUUACUACUGGCGUACAUAUAAUUCUUCUUAGAGGGACAGGCGGCUUCUAGCCGCACGAGAUUGAGCAAUAACAGGUCUGUGAUGCCCUUAGAUGUUCUGGGCCG